UGUUUGAGGGAUUAGGCUAACUUAGCCAUUCUAGUGAGGAAAAGAGUGACUAGUUUGUUCGUGCACCAUUCCCUUAUCCCUCACUAUAUAACAUCCCAACUCCUCAACCAAAAGUGAUUCUUUUAUCCUUCUCAUUCAUGCGAUAGCUCCCCGUCUCUCCGGCGAAAGCCCUAGAAUCCUCCACCUCCGCUUCAAAGAAACCCUAAUCCUACCGCUCAAUCAACUCAACUGCCGAUGGGCGGCGACGGAGCGCCGGCGAUGGGAGCAGCGGCCGAGGGGCAGUACGUGAAGGCCAAGACCGCAGUUUGGUGGGAUAUUGAGAACUGUCAAGUUCCUCGAUCUUGCGAUCCCCACCUGAUCGCCCAGAAUAUAAGCUCCGCGUUGGCGGCCAUGGAUUAUAAAGGGCCGGUGACGAUCUCGGCGUACGGGGACACGAGCAAUAUCCAGAAGGCGGCUCAGCAGGCGCUCUCCAGUACUGGGAUCUCCCUCAAUCAUGUUCCUGCUGGUGUGAAAGAUGCAAGUGAUAAGAAAAUUUUGGUGGACAUGUUGUUUUGGGCAGUGGAUAAUCCGCCUCCGGCAAAUUAUCUUCUUAUUUCUGGUGAUCGGGACUUCUCUAAUGCCCUCCAUCAACUAAGGAUGAGGAGAUAUAAUAUUCUAUUGGCACAGCCUGUUAAUGUAUCCCAAGCUCUGGUUUCAGCUGCAAAGAACGUUUGGCUAUGGGCUAGCCUUCUGAGUGGUGGCCCACCAUUGCUAGAGUCCCCCCAGCUUCAUAACGCAUCAAGUAGUAGCAGGUCAAAUGUGGAGACACCUGCCCGCAGCAUACCAGACGCUUCACAGUCUACUGAUUCUAAUCAAAAGAAUCAUGGUAAUGGGAAGGUUGAUAACCGGAAUAAAGUCAAGCAGAACCGAAAGACUCAGAGCCAGCCGAAUCCUAAUAUAUCUAGAACAACCUCCAAUGGAAGUCAAGAACGUCGUCAACCCAAUGCAAGUUCUAAUGCGUCCAGUCCCAAACAGAACAAUUGUGUGAAACAGCCAAAUCAUGCAUCUGCUUCCACAGUAUCAGGUCUGGGAGCACAAGAAAGUGCUCGUAUGAACAAUGGUAGACCAUUCUGUUCGUUUCCACUCUCUUCACCUCAAAUACUACCGGACUCUAGUAGGUCUAAUACACCAAGUGGAUCUGCAUGCAGUUAUAUUCAACCUCGCCCUGAUAUACCCAUGAACGAUGGAAAUAACUUCCCUAACCCGCAUCACGUGCAAUAUUCUCCGUCACCAAUGCCUAGUGACCUCUUGCAUCCUCAAACAAAUCUUCAACCUUGGAAUUUGAAUUUGUCUGAAUCAAAUUCCACGCACAACUCUUUUCCUCUGUCGUCUGGGACCUAUGGUCCAUCCUUUUCUACAGCACCUACAACCAGGCCAAAUGGUCUGUCCUUUUCUGCAUCACCUGCAAGGCCACUUUACGCCCAUCCUAAUGGCCAGCUGUUUACUUACCUACCUGAUAUGAGUAGGAUUGAUAUUUCAGAAUAUCCUAAUGGUGUGCAUCAAAAUAUGCCUCCAUUUUAUGACAACAACAUGCAUACAUCUAUUCCUUCCAUAAAUAGUAAUGCAGCCAACAAUGUAUUCUCGAGUACCUUUGAACGCCCAGAACCAUCUCAUGCUGCCCAGGCCAUGAUAGGGGUUAUUUUAGGAACCUUACAAAUAUUAAAGACUGAAAAAUUGGCUCCCACUGAAGCUAAUGUAGCAGAUUGCAUACACUACGGAGAUAUGAAACUCAAAACCUUUAACGUUAGAAUGGCCCUGGAUAAUGCUAGUGAGCAUCAGGCUGUUUUGGUGCACAAACUAGGAAACAACUUGCCUCUUUAUGUUGCAAAGACUGAUACACUUUGGAAGUGGAUUAAUAUCCUGGAUAACAAUGCUAAGCAUUCUAAAGCAAAAUAUGAUGCACUUCUAAAAUUCUUGUUGUCUGCUGAUGGACGAGCUGCAAUAUUAAGCUCAGAAUGCAGGUAUCAAGCUGCUGUUAUCCUCAGAAGGUCAUGUUUGAAAAACCUUGUCCUUGGCAAGAUACUGCAGAUUUUGCAUCUAAUAGUCCAUGUCAGAAAGUGGAUUGUGCCGGAUGCUUCUGGAUGGCAGCCCUUAUGUCUAACCCUUCCAUCGGAUUCAAAUGCAAACGUCAAUGAAAGCACUAGCUCUUGAUAUCACACUGCUGCUGGUACAUACAGGGGAAGAUAAAACUUCUAGUAGUACUAUGGGAGUAGAUAAACUGGGCAGAGUAACUUCUAGUAGUACUAGUAGUACUAGGGGAGUAGAUAAAGUGGACGGAGGGCACUGGAGUCGCAGGCGAUACGAUAUCUAGACAUGGAUGUGCAUAUGUCCACGCAUAUGUUAGUUUUUUUCAAGUACAGUAGCAGUGAAGUAGUUUAUAAAUGGCAUGGUGAAGGCUUGUGUCGGAGGUUUCGAGUGACGAGAAAGCUUCUAGUAGUAAUUUUUGAAAUGACAUGAAGGCUGAAGAAUGCUUAUGAGGAAUUGAUUUGAGUAUUGUAACAUCACCUAUAAGGUUAUUGGCAUCCAAGAUUGAAUAGAAGUAUCGCCGUAUCGGAUUACUAUAUAUCAUGAAGGAUGGGGUUAACUGGCUAUUGGCAUCCAAGAUUGAGUAGAAGUAUCGGUUUACUAUACAUCAUGAAGGAUGGGGUUAACUGGCAUCUGCAAGCGGUGAAGAAAGGUUUACUUAAUUUCACUUUCAGUGAAAGCUACGUGUCAUUAUAUAUAAGGUCUAUUUGGAUGAUGGGAACUGUUUCUGUGUUUGGGCUUUAGAAGAACCUGAGCUUAAUGUUGUGUGCAGAUGUGGAUUUUGGCAUC
RNA transcript from Asparagus officinalis (garden asparagus), 2853 nucleotides. RefSeq lists it as uncharacterized. NCBI's taxonomy places the organism in Eukaryota, Viridiplantae, Streptophyta, Magnoliopsida, Asparagales, Asparagaceae. The transcript has 4 exons. The record is from RefSeq and is a predicted model, not a curated record.